CGGGGGGAGCAAGCGUUGUUCGGAUUUAUUGGGUUUAAAGGGUGCGUAGGCGGCCCUAUAAGUCAGUGCUGAAAUAUCCCGGCUUAACCGGGAGGUGGCAUUGAUACUGUAGGGCUUGAGUGUAGUCGAGGUAGGCGGAAUUGACGGUGUAGCGGUGAAAUGCUUAGAUAUCGUCAAGAACACCGAUAGUGUAGACAGCUUACUAGGCUACAACUGACGCUGAGGCACGAAAGUGUGGGGAUCAAACAGGAUUAGAUACCCUGGUAGUCCACACUGUAAACGUUGAUUACUCGCUGUUGGCGAUACACAGUCAGCGGCUUAGCGAAAGCGAUAAGUAAUCCACCUGGGGAGUACGCCGGCAACGGUG
Molecule: ribosomal RNA, 367 nt
Filed under: uncultured organism
Description: bacterial SSU rRNA
Rfam family: Bacterial small subunit ribosomal RNA
Source: RNAcentral